Molecule: ribosomal RNA, 262 nt
Filed under: uncultured bacterium
Lineage: Bacteria
Description: partial 16S ribosomal RNA
Rfam family: Bacterial small subunit ribosomal RNA
Source: RNAcentral
GCAAGUCGAGCGGAAACGACAACAUGGAAUCUUCGGAGGAUUUGUUGGGCGUCGAGCGGCGGAAGGGUGAAGAAUCCCUAGGAAAUUGCGGUGCUGUGAGGGAUAACCAUUGGAAACGAUGGCUAAUACCGAAGAGUGCAUACGGGCCAAAGGGGGGGAUCUUCGGACCUCUCGCGUUAAGAUGUGCCUAGGUGGGAUUAGCUAGUUGGUGAGGUAAUGGCUCACCAAGGCGACGAUCCCUAGCUGGUCUGAGAGGAUGAUC